GCAAGGCCUCGUAGUCCCCCGGCGUUCACGUCACCGGGAGCAUCCAAGGACCAGUGAUUCCUUGCUAUAGCAGCAUUCCACUCAUCUGGCACGCUGGCCGCCCUAUCCUUAGCCGGGCAACGCUGGUGACUGAGAUGGGGAGACACGC
This 148-nucleotide small nucleolar RNA is filed under the name Chlamydomonas reinhardtii. RNAcentral describes it as "CrACA04b snoRNA". Lineage: Eukaryota; Viridiplantae; Chlorophyta; Chlorophyceae; Chlamydomonadales; Chlamydomonadaceae. The record is from RNAcentral.